GACGAACGCUGGCGGCGUGCUUAACACAUGCAAGUCGAACGGAAAGGCCCUGCUUUUGUGGGGUGCUCGAGUGGCGAACGGGUGAGUAACACGUGAGUAACCUGCCCUUGACUUUGGGAUAACUUCAGGAAACUGGGGCUAAUACCGGAUAGGAGCUCCUGCUGCAUGGUGGGGGUUGGAAAGUUUCGGCGGUUGGGGAUGGACUCGCGGCUUAUCAGCUUGUUGGUGGGGUAGUGGCUUACCAAGGCUUUGACGGGUAGCCGGCCUGAGAGGGUGACCGGCAACAUUGGGACUGAGAUACGGCCCAGACUCCUACGGGAGGAAGCAGGGGGGAAUAUUGAACAAUGGGCGGAAGCCUGAUGCAGCAACGCCGCGUGCGGGAUGACGGCCUUCGGGUUGUAAACCGCUUUCGCCUGUGACGAAGCGUGAGUGACGGUAAUGGGUAAAGAAGCACCGGCUAACUACGUG
RNAcentral lists this ribosomal RNA (468 nucleotides) under uncultured bacterium. Its description in RNAcentral is "partial 16S ribosomal RNA". It matches the Rfam family "Bacterial small subunit ribosomal RNA", at positions 28 to 507 of the family's 1533-position model. The record is from RNAcentral.